Molecule: ribosomal RNA, 488 nt
Filed under: Scandarma raymondi
Lineage: Eukaryota; Metazoa; Arthropoda; Malacostraca; Decapoda; Sesarmidae
Description: partial large subunit ribosomal RNA
Source: RNAcentral
CCACUGAUAAAAUUUUAAAGGGCCGCGGUAUUCUGACUGUGCAAAGGUCGCAUAAUCGUUAGUUUUUUAAUUGGAAUCUUGUAUGAAUGGUUUGACAAAAAAAAAUCUGUCUUUAUAAUUAUUUAUUGAAUUUAACUUUUAAGUGAAAAGGCUUAAAUAAAUUAAAAAGACGAUAAGACCCUAUAAAGCUUAAUAUUAAGUUUUUAUUUAAUUGAAUUUUAAAUUAUAUAAAAAUUUGGUAAAAAAUUUUUAUUUUAUUGGGGCGAUAAUGGUAAAAUGAUUAUUAACUGUUAAUUUUUUUAGACAAAAAUAAAUGAAUAGAAAWUAAUWGCAGUUAUAUAAGAAGGUCUGUUCGACCUUUAAAAUUUUACGUGAUUUGAGUUCAGACCGGCGUAAGCCAGGUCGGUUUCUAUCUUUUAAUAUUUAAUAAUUGUUUUAGUACGAAAGGAUUAAACAAUUAAAAUUAUUUUUAAAAUAAGUGGAUAAAA